RNAcentral lists this ribosomal RNA (1388 nucleotides) under metagenome. RNAcentral describes it as "bacterial SSU rRNA". It matches the Rfam family "Bacterial small subunit ribosomal RNA", at positions 131 to 1498 of the family's 1533-position model. The record is from RNAcentral.
UUUAAGAUGGGGACAACCUUCCGAAAGGAGGGCUAAUACCGAAUGAGACCACAGCCACAUAAGUGGCAGGGGUUAAAGAUGGCCUCUACUUGUAAGCUAUCACUUUAAGAUGGGCCUAAGCACCAUUAGCUUGUUGGCAGGGUAACGGCCUACCAAGGCUACGAUGGUUAGCUGAUCUGAGAGGUUGAUCAGCCACACUGGAACUGAGACACGGUCCAGACUCCUACGGGAGGCAGCAGUGGGGAAUUUUGCGCAAUGGGGGAAACCCUGACGCAGCGACGCCGCGUGGGUGAUGAAGGCCUUCGGGUCGUAAAGCCCUGUCAAGGGGAAAGAAAACGGUAUGGCUAAUAUCCAUACCGCUUGACGGUACCUCUGGAGGAAGCACCGGCUAACUACGUGCCAGCAGCCGCGGUAAUACGUAGGGUGCAAGCGUUGUUCGGAAUUAUUGGGCGUAAAGAGCGUGUAGGUGGCUAGGAAAGUUGGGUGUGAAAUCCCUGGGCUCAACCCAGGAAGUGCAUCCAAAACUACUUAGCUAGAGGACGAGAGAGGGAGGUGGAAUUCCUAGUGUAGAGGUGAAAUUCGUAGAUAUUAGGAGGAAUACCGGUGGCGAAGGCGGCCUCCUGGAUCGAUCCUGACACUGAGACGCGAAAGCGUGGGGAUCAAACAGGAUUAGAUACCCUGGUAGUCCACGCCGUAAACGAUGAGUACUAGAUGUUGCGGGAAUUGACCCCUGCAGUGUCGCCGCUAACGCAGUAAGUACUCCGCCUGGGAAGUACGGUCGCAAGGCUAAAACUCAAAGGAAUUGACGGGGGCCCGCACAAGCGGUGGAGCAUGUGGUUUAAUCCGAUGCUACGCGAAAAACCUUACCUGGAUUUGACAUCCUCGGACAACCCUAGAGAUAGGGCUUUCUCUUCGGAGGCCGAGUGACAGGUGCUGCAUGGCUGUCGUCAGCUCGUAUCGUGAGAUGUCGGGUUAAGUCCCUUAACGAGCGCAACCCUUAUCCCUAGUUGCCAUCAUUUAGUUGGGCACUCUAUGGAGACUGCCGGUGUUAAACCGGAGGAAGGCGGGGAUGACGUCAAGUCCUCAUGCCCUUAUAUCCAGGGCAACACACGUGCUACAAUGGCCGGUACAGAGAGUUGCCAACCCGCGAGGGGGAGCUAAUCUCAGAAAGCCGGUCUCAGUUCGGAUUGGAGUCUGCAACUCGACUCCAUGAAGUUGGAAUCGCUAGUAAUCGCGGAUCAGCACGCCGCGGUGAAUACGUUCCCGGGCCUUGUACACACCGCCCGUCACACCACGAAAGUCAAUUGUACCAGAAGUCGCUGGCCUAACCGUAAGGAGGGAGGCGCCCAAGGUGCGGUUGAUGAUUGGGGUGAAGUCGAAACAAGGUA